AUCAUCAUCAUCGCGUCUCUCAUAAGUUGGCCUCUCAUACUCCUCUUCUUGCCUCCCAUAACUAGGCCUCCUGGGCGGCUCAUCUCCAUAACUCGGCCUCUCAUACUCAGUCCUCUCUCCAUAACCUCGUUCCUCCCCGUAACUUGGCUUGCGCCCAUACCCACCACCUUCAUAUUCGGACUCAUUCCUCCUUUCAUGCCCUGAUCCAUACUCCGUCCUGCCCCCAUAUCCAGAAUCAUAUUCCGAACUGGGUCUCUCAUACUCAGUACUCCCCCCAUACCCAGAUUCAGGUCUCUUGCCAUAGCCGGAUCCAUACUCCCCACCGGGUGGCCUCUCNNN
Molecule: long non-coding RNA, 339 nt
Filed under: Manihot esculenta (cassava)
Lineage: Eukaryota; Viridiplantae; Streptophyta; Magnoliopsida; Malpighiales; Euphorbiaceae
Description: long non-coding RNA (MESC_LNC000787)
Source: RNAcentral